RNAcentral lists this ribosomal RNA (474 nucleotides) under Sphingomonas sp. RNAcentral's name for it is "bacterial SSU rRNA". It matches the Rfam family "Bacterial small subunit ribosomal RNA", at positions 169 to 677 of the family's 1533-position model. The record is from RNAcentral. Lineage: Bacteria; Pseudomonadati; Pseudomonadota; Alphaproteobacteria; Sphingomonadales; Sphingomonadaceae.
CCGGAUGAUAUCGCGAGAUCAAAGAUUUAUCGCCUGAGGAUGAGCCCGCGUUGGAUUAGGUAGUUGGUGGGGUAAAGGCCUACCAAGCCGACGAUCCAUAGCUGGUCUGAGAGGAUGAUCAGCCACACUGGGACUGAGACACGGCCCAGACUCCUACGGGAGGCAGCAGUGGGGAAUAUUGGACAAUGGGCGAAAGCCUGAUCCAGCAAUGCCGCGUGAGUGAUGAAGGCCCUAGGGUUGUAAAGCUCUUUUACCCGGGAAGAUAAUGACUGUACCGGGAGAAUAAGCCCCGGCUAACUCCGUGCCAGCAGCCGCGGUAAUACGGAGGGGGCUAGCGUUGUUCGGAAUUACUGGGCGUAAAGCGCACGUAGGCGGCUUUGUAAGUCAGAGGUGAAAGCCUGGAGCUCAACUCCAGAACUGCCUUUGAGACUGCAUCGCUUGAAUCCAGGAGAGGUCAGUGGAAUUCCGAGUGUA